RNAcentral lists this ribosomal RNA (461 nucleotides) under uncultured bacterium. Its description in RNAcentral is "bacterial SSU rRNA". It matches the Rfam family "Bacterial small subunit ribosomal RNA", at positions 917 to 1382 of the family's 1533-position model. The record is from RNAcentral.
GGGCCCGCACAAGCAGCGGAGCAUGUGGUUUAAUUCGAAGCAACGCGAAGAACCUUACCUAGACUUGACAUCCCCUGAAUUACCUGUAAUAAGGGAAGCCCUCCGGGGCAGGGAGACAGGUGGUGCAUGGUUGUCGUCAGCUCGUGUCGUGAGAUGUUAGGUUAAGUCCUGCAACGAGCGCAACCCUUAUCAUUAGUUGCUACCAUUUAGUUGAGCACUCUAGUGAGACUGCCCGGGUCAACCGGGAGGAAGGUGGGGAUGACGUCAAAUCAUCAUGCCCCUUAUGUCUAGGGCUACACACGUGCUACAAUGGUGAGUACAGAGAGAUGCAAACCCGCAAGGGUGAGCCAAACUUUAAAACUCGCCCCAGUUCGGAUUGCAGGCUGAAACCCGCCUGCAUGAAGCUGGAGUUGCUAGUAAUCGCGGAUCAGAAUGCCGCGGUGAAUGCGUUCCCGGGCCUU